UAGGGAAUCUUCCGCAAUGGACGCAAGUCUGACGGAGCAACGCCGCGUGAGUGAAGAAGGAUUUCGGUUCGUAAAACUCUGUUGUUAGAGAAGAACAGCGCAUAGAGUAACUGUUAUGCGUGUGACGGUAUCUAACCAGAAAGCCACGGCUAACUACGUGCCAGCAGCCGCGGUAAUACGUAGGUGGCAAGCGUUGUCCGGAUUUAUUGGGCGUAAAGCGAGCGCAGGCGGUCAAUUAAGUCUGAUGUGAAAGCCCCCGGCUCAACCGGGGAGGGUCAUUGGAAACUGGUUAACUUGAGUGCAGAAGAGGAGAGUGGAAUUCAAUGUGUAACGGUGAAAUGCGUAGAUAUAUGGAAGAACACCAGUGGCGAAGGCGACUCUCUGGUCUGUAACUGACGCUGAGGCUCGAAAGCGUGGGUAGCAAACAGG
Molecule: ribosomal RNA, 429 nt
Filed under: Bacteroidota bacterium
Lineage: Bacteria; Pseudomonadati; Bacteroidota
Description: Bacteroidetes bacterium partial 16S ribosomal RNA
Rfam family: Bacterial small subunit ribosomal RNA
Source: RNAcentral